UACGAAGGGUGCAAACGUUGCUCGGAAUCACUGGGCGUAAAGCGCACGUAGGCGGCUUUUUAAGUCGGUGGUGAAAUCCUGGAGCUCAACUCCAGAACUGCCUCCGAUACUGAAAGGCUCGAGUCCGGGAGAGGUGAGUGGAACUGCGAGUGUAGAGGUGAAAUUCGUAGAUAUUCGCAAGAACACCAGUGGCGAAGGCGGCUCACUGGCCCGGUACUGACGCUGAGGUGCGAAAGCGUGGGGAGCAAAUAGG
Molecule: ribosomal RNA, 253 nt
Filed under: uncultured bacterium
Lineage: Bacteria
Description: partial 16S ribosomal RNA
Rfam family: Bacterial small subunit ribosomal RNA
Source: RNAcentral